RNAcentral lists this long non-coding RNA (336 nucleotides) under Jatropha curcas. RNAcentral describes it as "long non-coding RNA (JCUR_LNC001672)". Lineage: Eukaryota; Viridiplantae; Streptophyta; Magnoliopsida; Malpighiales; Euphorbiaceae. The record is from RNAcentral.
UGACAUCCCAGGUUUGGGGCACAACACCUUAGGCGAAUCCCACAUCGGCUACGCACAAGGUGAAAGUCCUAUACAUAAAGGGUGGCAACCUUGAACAUGGUAGACGCGUUUUGGGCUGGCAGAGUGGAGGUUUCUCUGGCCCAAAAACAAAACCGUGCGGGCUUGUGUGGCCCAAAGCGGACAAUAUCUACCAUGGGCUGGGCUGUUACAAUUUGGUAUCAGAGCCAAGCCUUGUCCCUCUGGCCGGUGGUGGGGCAAACCUCAGCGAGGACACUGAGUCCCUAAGGGGGGGUGUAUGUGACAUCCCAGGUUUGGGGCACAACACCUUAGGCGAAU